ACAAGCGGCGGAGCAUGCGGAUUAAUUCGAUGCAACGCGAAGAACCUUACCAGGCCUUGACAUGCAGAGAACUUUCCAGAGAUGGAUUGGUGCCUUCGGGAACUCUGACACAGGUGCUGCAUGGCUGUCGUCAGCUCGUGUCGUGAGAUGUUGGGUUAAGUCCCGCAACGAGCGCAACCCUUGCCAUUAAUUGCCAUCAUUUAGUUGGGCACUUUAAUGGGACUGCCGGUGACAAACCGGAGGAAGGUGGGGAUGACGUCAAGUCCUCAUGGCCCUUAUGGCCAGGGCUUCACACGUAAUACAAUGGUCGGUACAGAGGGUUGCCAAGCCGCGAGGUGGAGCCAAUCCCAGAAAGCCGAUCGUAGUCCGGAUUGUAGUCUGCAACUCGACUACAUGAAGUCGGAAUCGCUAGUAAUCGCGGAUCAGCAUGUCCGCGGUCGAAUACGUUCCCGGGCCUU
Molecule: ribosomal RNA, 458 nt
Filed under: uncultured Methylophilaceae bacterium
Lineage: Bacteria; Pseudomonadati; Pseudomonadota; Betaproteobacteria; Nitrosomonadales; Methylophilaceae
Description: bacterial SSU rRNA
Rfam family: Bacterial small subunit ribosomal RNA
Source: RNAcentral